Non-coding RNA from Helianthus annuus (common sunflower), 103 nucleotides. NCBI's taxonomy places the organism in Eukaryota, Viridiplantae, Streptophyta, Magnoliopsida, Asterales, Asteraceae. The record is from Rfam.
GUAAAGUAAUGAUAUUGGAACGGCUCAAUCAAAUCAAAUCUCCUGAGUAGACAGACAAGGUCUUUUAAUUUGAUUGAGUCGUGCCAAUAUCAUGAACUACUAC